RNAcentral lists this long non-coding RNA (1896 nucleotides) under Anas platyrhynchos platyrhynchos (common mallard). RNAcentral describes it as "lncRNA (ENSAPLG00000030410.1)". Lineage: Eukaryota; Metazoa; Chordata; Aves; Anseriformes; Anatidae. The record is from RNAcentral.
UAAAUGGGGACCUAAAUGGGGUCCUGAGUGCCCCAGGGGGAGGGUCUCUGUGCUGGGAUAGGGGGAGGGGGCUUGGCACUGUAAAUGGGGCCCUAAAUGAGGCCUUAAAUGCCCCAGGGAGUGGGUUCAGGGGAGUGUCCUUGUGCUAGGAUAUGGGGAGGGGGCCUGACCCCAUAAAUGGCCCCCUAAGUGUCACUCUAAAUGCCCCAGGGGGUGGGUUCAGGGGGUUGUUCCUGUGUGGGGAUGGAGGACGGGGUCUGGACACCAUAAAUGUGGCCCUAAAUGUCACCCUAAAUGACCCAGGGAGAGGGUCUCUGUGCUGGGAUAUGGGGAGGGGGCUUGGCACCGUAAAUGGGGUCCUAAAUGUGGCCCUAAGUGGCACAGGGGGUAGCACAGGGGAAUAUCUCCCAUGUUGGGGGAGGGAGCAGGGUCCUGACCCCAUAAACGUGGCCCUAAGUGUCACCCUAAGUGCCCCAGGAGGUGGGGGUGGGGGGUUGUCUCGGUGUUGGGGUUGGGGAUGGGGUCCUGACACCCUAAAUGUGGUCCUAAAUGUCACCUUAAAUGCCCCAGGGGGAGGGUCUCUGUGCUGGGGUAUGGGGAGGGGGCUUGGCACCAUAAAUGGGGCCCUAAAUGUGGCCCUAAGUGGCACAGGGGGUGGCAUCAGGGGAAUGUCCAUGUGUUGGGAUAUGGGGAGGGGGCCAGAUCCCAUAAAUGGCACCUUAAGUGUCACCCUAAAUGCCCCAGGGGGUGGGUUCAGGGGGUUGUCCAUGUGUUGGGACAGGGAAUGGGGUCCUGGCACCCUAAAAGUCCCCCUAAAUGUCCCCAUAAGCACCCCAGGAGGUGCAUGCAGGGUAUGCCCCCAUUUGGGGACAGGAUAUAGGGUCCUGCCACCCUAAACGUCCCCAAAAGUGCCCCAGGAGGUGGGUGCAAGGCAUUAUACCCCUGCUGGGUCAGGGAAUGGGCUCCUGUCACCCUAAAAGUCCCCCAUAUGUCCCCAGAAGUGCUCCAGGAGGUGGGUGCAGGGGGUUGUCCCCGUGUUGGGACAGGGAACGGGGUCCUGCCACCCUAAAAGUCCCUAUAAAUGUCCCCAUAAGUGCCACAGGGGGCGUAUACAGGGGAUUGUCCCCAUACUAGAAUAGGGAACGGGCUCCUGCCACCCUAAAUGUCCCCCUAAACAUCCCCAAAAGUGCUCCAGGAGGUGGGUGCAGGGGGUUUUCCCUGUGUUGGGACAGGGAAUGGGGUCCUGGCACCCUAAAAGUCCCCCUAAGUGUCCCCAAAAGUGCCCCAGGAGGUGCGUGCAGGGGAUGCCCCCAAAUUGGGACAGGUUCUGGGCUCCUGCCACCCUAAACCCCGCAGCAGCUCCCUGGGGCUGGGGACACCCCCGUCCUUGUGCGUGGGACCCACCCGUGUCCCCCCCCCCGUCCCCUUGUCCCCCCCCUUGUCCCCGUGUCCCCGCAGGAGGCCAUCAUGGACGGGACGGAGAUCGCGGUGUCGCCGCGCAGCCUGCACAGCGAGCUGAUGUGCCCCAUCUGCCUGGACAUGCUGAAGAACACCAUGACCACCAAGGAGUGCCUGCACCGCUUCUGCUCCGACUGCAUCGUCACCGCCCUGCGCAGCGGGUACGGGGGCUGGGGGGGGGCAGAAAACCCACCACGAGGGGCAAAAAUCCACUUCAGGGGAGAAAAAAACCACCACGGGGGGCAUAAACCCACCGCAGGAGGGAUAAAAUCCCCUGCAGGAGGGGUAAAACCCACCGGGGGGAGAGUAAAACCCACAGCAGGGGGGUUAAACCCACUGUGGGGGGCAUAAAAUCCACCACAAGGGCGAUAAAACCCGCCACGGGGGGAGUAAAACCCACCACAGGGGGGUAAAAUCCACUGCAGGGGGUAUAAAACC